This 15981-nucleotide long non-coding RNA is filed under the name Capsicum annuum. Its description in RNAcentral is "long non-coding RNA (CANN_LNC007476)". Lineage: Eukaryota; Viridiplantae; Streptophyta; Magnoliopsida; Solanales; Solanaceae. The record is from RNAcentral.
AACUUUAAACUUUUCACGUUGUCGCUUUGUUUUCAACUUCUCUUUGUUGCUUGACUUUUCAUUUCUUCACCCUGUUCUCCAGGCAGGCUCCUGAAAUCAUAUAAAAACUAAAAAGAAAAUUAUCCUAAACAAAGAUUAUUAUAAAGAGAUUUAAUUUUUUGAAUGUAAUGUCUCAUUCUUCAGGAAGGUCCUGAACAAAAGUAAAAUCCCAUUUUUCAGGAGGGUCCUGAACAAAAAAUAAAUUCCAUUUUUCAGGAGGUUCUGAACAUAAAAUAAAAUUCCAUUUUCAGGAGGGUCCUGAACAGAAAGUAAAAUCCCAUUUUUUAGGAGGUCCUAAACUGAAAGUAAAAUCUCAUUUUCAGGAGGGUCCUGAACAGAAAGAAAAAUCUCAUUUUUUUGGAUGGUCCUGAACAUAAAGUAAAAUCUCAUUUUUCAGGAAUGUCCUGAACUGAAGCAAAUUCCUAUUUUUCAAGAGGGUCCUGAACAGAAAGAAAAAUCCCAAUUUUUAGGAGGGUCCUGAACAGAAAGAAAAAUCUCAUUUUUCAGGAGGGUCCUGAACAUAAAGUAAAAUCCCAUUUUUCACGAUUGUCCUAAAUUGAAGUAAAUUCCUAUUUUUCAAGAGGGUCCUGAAAACAAAGAAAAAUCCCAAUUUUUAGGAGGGUUCUGAAGAUAAAGUAAAAUAUCAUUUUUCAGGAGGGUCCUGAACUGAAGUACAUUCCCAUUUUUUUGGAGGGUCCUGAACAUAAAGUAAAAUCCCAUUUUUCAGAAGGGUCCUGAACAGAAAGUAAAAUCUCAUUUUUCAGGAGGGUCCUGAACAGAAAGUAAAAUCCCAGUUUUCAUGAGAGCCCAGAACAUAAAAUAAAUUCCCAUUUUUCAAGAGGGUCCUGAACAGAAAGUAAAAUCCCAUUUUUCAGAAGGAUCCUGGAUAGAAAGUAAAGUCCCAUUUUUCAGGAGGGUCCUGAACAUAAAGUAAAAACCUAUUUUCCAGGAGGGUCCUGAACAGAAAGUAAAAUCCCACGAUGUGCAUUUCCAAUGGUAGCUGAAUUAAGUGAAGCAAAUUUACCCCUGUUUCAACAAAGAAAAUUUUACAGUUAAGAACUUAGUGGUGGCUUGCGGCACUUGGCUGUCCCGACACCUGCUCCAACCGUUGUUUCUUUCACCUUUGUUUCAGAUCGUUGGCUUUUGCCCCUGUCUUGUCGCGUCAUUGACCCGGAUCCAAAUUGAGGGAAAUGAGUUCUGACUCAAACAAUGAAUUUCCAUUUUACCAUGCCUCUGAGAUGCACCCUUUUUAAAAAUCUGAAUAUUCCCACAAAUCCAGUAGCCUGUCGGUUGAUAGACUUCCUUUGUUUUGUGUUGAAUUAUGAUCAUAUUCCUUUCAUGUGAUAGUCCUUGGCUUUUCUCAUAUAAUUGGAAACACGGGUAGCAAGUUUUGAAAACCUUUCUCACUUGUUUUGACACUGAAAAGACUUGACUGAAAAUGUAAAGAAAUGAUGGUGACUUUUAUUUUGAUAAAUAACUUAAGAGACAAAAUGUGAAUAUGUAAAUGAAAGAAAAAGACAAUGUCCCUUAUUCAAAAAGAAACUUAUCUGAAUACGGCAACCAACUCCAAUGAGUAUGACAUGCAUUUUGGAUUAAGCUGCCUGAUCUUUCUAUCUAAACUUCCCAUUGUUGUUGAGUUCGUGCCUUUUCCGCUGCUGCUUCUUCCAACCCAUUGGACUCAUAUAUCUCAUUCAAUUAACGGCAUCUUGAAAGACUUUCGCCAAUAAAUCUCUUUUCAUUUUACUUUCUCUCGAUCUGGCCGUCGCCUUACGGUGCCCAUAAGGGUUUUCACCAAUAAGACUCUAUCAUUUUUAUUUCUCUCAACUCCCCAUCACUUUAUGGUGCCCGUGAGGGUUUUCACCAGUAAGACUCUCUCAUUUUUAUUUUUUUGACUCACCAUCGCCUUAUGGUGCCCGCUGGGGUUUUCAGCAAUAAGACUCUCAUUUUAUUUCUUUCCUGAUUUCUUAUGCUGAGGAAAACAAGUAAUACCCAAUAAUGUAUCAUCAUAUCCAUUGCAUGCUUAGCCUUAACAUUAUCAAAAAUUGAUCUAAAGUACUUUCUUUGGUUGUAACUUGGCUUUUGGAUAAAGUUAGAAAAGGAUGGCAAGAGGCUCAAACGACAGUUGAAGUGGGGUGGGACUUACAACUUUUGGAAUCAACUCAAAUAACACACUAACUCAUGCUCCAGUUUUUGUUGAUUGAGUUACUCUAAAAUCUUUAUUUGGUUGGACUGAGCCCUGAGUAAGGUAGCCUACGUAUAUCACUCCCAAGAGAGGAGAAUCAGGUCGCACAUAGUUCCAUCAACUUGUUCUUGGUUUUGAUUUGAUUUUUUUUCUUUUAUUUUCAAACUCUUUCUUUUAUUCUUAUUUUCCUGACAUUUACCUUUGAAUCUAUUUUGAUUCCAAAAGAGGGAUAUGUAACAAAAAUAAAACUAAGCUCAAACGGGUAAACAAAGGAUGACACAAUGUUUGGAUAGAAGAAUAAAAUGCCUUCAUCAUAUCAAUCUACAAAAAUGCAAGUACUAAAUAUGUAAUAAGAUCAACAAAGGAUAAAAUAUCAUACAUAAUAUCUUUUGACGCAUCAGCAUUGAUAGCCAUUUCUGUCAUUUUGCCUUCAAUAUCAAUCAAAUAUAAGGCUCCAUUAGGCAACACUUUCUUUACAAUAAAGGGACCUUGCUAGUUUGGGGAGAACUUGCCUUUUGCUUCAACCUGGUGAGGAAGGAUACGUUUCAAUACCAACUAACCAUCUUCAAAAUUCCUGGGACGGACCUUUUUGUUAUAUGCUUGAGCCAUCCUCUUCUGAUACAACUAGCUAUGACAUACCGACGUUAGCCUUUUUUCCUCAAUUAAACUCAAUUGUUUCAGUCGGGUUUUGACCCACUAAUCAUCAUCCAUCUUUGCUUCCACAAUGACUCAAAGAGAGGGAAUUUCAACUUAUGCAGGGAUGACUACUUCCGUCCCAUACACUAAUAAAUAUGGAGUUUCCCCUGUUGAAGUGUGAACAGUAGUGUGAUAACCUAACAGAACAAAUGGCAACUUUUCAUGGCAUUGUCUAGACCCUUGUAUUAUUUUCCACAGUAUCUUCUUGAUAUUCUUAUUCACGGCUUCCACAGAACCAUUGGCCUUUGGACGAUAUGGAGUGAAAUUUUGAUGUACGAUCUUAAACUGUUAGCACACUUCUUGCAUUAAAUGGCUAUUGAUAUUGACAGCAUUGUCUGUAAUUAUUAUCUUAGGAAUUUCAAACCUACAAAUGAUGUUGGCAUGAACAAAAUCUACCACAGCCUUCUUUGUUACUGACUUGAAAGUUACUGCUUCUACCCACUUUGUGAAGUAAUCAAUGGACACUAAAAUAAAUCUAUUCCCAUUUAACGCUUUCGGUUCAACCGGUCCAAUCACGUCCAUUCCCCAAGCUACAAAUGGCCAUGGAGCAGCCAUUGUGUGCAACUCAGUAGGAGGAGAAUGUAUCAGAUCACCGUGUACCUAACAUUGAUGAAACUUUUGAACAAGUCGAAUAGAAUCCCUCUCCAAAGUAAGACAGUAAUAACCUACUCGAAGAAUUUUCUUUGACAAGACAUAACUAUUCAUAUGCGGCCCACAUACUCCAGAGUGUAUUUCAACCAUGAUUUUCGAGGCUUCUCUUGCAUCCACACACCUCAAAAGUCCAAGAUCUGGGGUUCUCCUGUAGAAGAUUCCCCCGCUUAAAAAAAUACACUAGCCAAAUGCCUAAUAGUCCUCUUUUGAACAUUGGUGGCAUGUGUUGGGUAUUCUCCUGACUGAAUGUACCGCUUGAUAUCAAAGAACCAAGGUUCUCUAUCAAGCUUUUCUUCAACCCUACUACAGUAAGCAUGCUUAUCACGACUCUAUAUAUGCACUGGAUAGAUGUAGGCUUUAUCAGGAUGUUGGAGCAUUGAAGACAGAGUGGCUAAAGCAUCAGCAAUUUCAUUAUGAAUCCUUGGAAUAUGCAUAAAUUUUAUUGACACAAACCGUUGGCAUAGCUUCUGCAGGCAUUGUUGAUACGGUAUAAGCUUCAAAUCUCGCAUCUCCCAAUCGACUUAAAUUUGGUGGAUGAGCAAAUCUGAAUCCACCAACACUAAUAGUUCUUGGACUCCCAUAUGAACAGUUAACCUCAAACCAAGAAUACACGCUUCGUAUUCCACCAUGUUAUUGGUACAAUAAAAUCAAAGUUGUGCUAUUACUGGAAAAUGUUGCCCCGCCUCAGAAAUAAAAACUGUACCUAUUCUGACUCCUUUCAUGUUGAUAGCUCCAUCGAACAACUUCCAACUUGGAUCAGCAUCUAUAACGACUUCAUCGACAUACAACACUUCUUCAUCAGGAAAGUAUGUCUUUAGCGGCUCAUACUCUUCAUCAAUGGGAUUCUCAGCAAGAUGAUAUGUCAAGGCUUGGGCUUUUAUGGCAAUUUGAGUCAUAAGCAACAUUUUCCACUUUGCCAAUCGACCUAUCGGCAUAUGCUUCUAAAAAAUAUACUUCAAAGGAUCCAUACGGGAGAUGAGAUAAGUAGUGUAGGACGAGAGAUAAUGCUUCAACUUCUGCGCAACCCAAGUUAGGGCAUAACACGUCUUUUCAAGAAGAGUAUACCUGGCCACAUAUGUAGUGAACUUCUUGCUAAGAUACUAAAUAGUCUGCUUAUUUUUCCAAUGAUAUCAUGUUGACCCAAGACACAACCGAAAGAAUUGUCCAUGACUGAUAAAUAUAAGAUCAAAGGCCUACUACGCUCCGAUGGUACCAGCACGGGCGGAUUUGACAAAUAUCUUUUGAUUCUGCCGAACGCUUCCUGACAUUCUUCAGUCUAUUCUACCACAACACUCUUUUUCAGCAACUUGAAUAUGGGCUCACAAGUAGUUGUGAGUUGAGAAAUAAACCUACUGAUGUAGUUCAGUCUACCAACCAAACUCAUUACCUCUGUCCUAUUCUUGGGCGGGGGAAAAUACUGAAUGACUUUGAUUUUUGAGGGAUCCAAUUCAAUUCCCCGAUGGCUGACUAUAAACCCCAACAGCUUUCCAGAUGGAACUCCAAAUACAUAUUUUGUCGGGUUGAGCUUGAGAUUAUACCUGCAAAGCCUUUCAAAAAACUUUCUUAAAUCUUUAACAUGGCCAGCCUGAAUUUUUUACUUAAUAAUGACAUCAUCUAUAUAGACCUCAAUCUCCUUAUACGUCAUAUCAUGAAACAUAGUGGUCAUGGCUCUUAUGUGUAUUGCUCCAGCAUUCUUCAAACUGAACGGCAUCCCUCGAUAAGAAUAGGCCCCCCAUGGUGUGAUAAAAGAUGUCUUCUCCGCGUCUUCAUCAACCUUAAUGAUCCGGUGGUAUCUAUCAUAGCAAUCCAUAAAAGAGGCAACUUCAUGUUUAGCGAAGUUGUCCAGCAAAAUAUGGAUGUUGGACAACAGAAAAUAAUCUUUUGGACUUGCUCUGUUCAAAUCAUGGUAAUCAACACAUACCCGAAUUUUGCCAUCUUUCUUUGGGACAGGAACAACAUUGGAUAACCACGUGGGAUAAUGAGUCACUCGAAUUACUUUGGCUUCAAGUUGUUUCAUGAUUUCCUCUUUGAUUUUAAUACUUACAUUAGUUUUAAACUUCCUCAACUUCUGUUUGACAGGAGGGAAUGCGGGAUCAGUUUGCAAUUUAUGGGCCACUAAUUCAGUGCUUAAACCAGGCAUAUCAUCAUAAGACCAUGCAAAAAUAUCCUUAUAAUCAGUUAAUGCAUGAAUUAUUUCAUAUUUUAACUGUGGCAAAGCAUGUACACUGAUUUUAGUUUCCCUAACAUCUUCUUGAUUCCCUAGAUUGAUUGGCUCAGUUUCAUUCAAAUUAGGACUCGGUUUGUCUUCAAACUGUUCCAACUCUUUGCUUAUUUCUUCUAGUGCCUCUUCUUCAUCUUAUUCCCCCUCUUUCUUCAUUAUAUCUUGAUUAGUUUGGAUUUUAAGUUCAGGCUGAAAAUUCCGCAUGCAUGUCAUGUUAUUAGAAUCAACAUAAAGAGAACUGUAUAAAGAAAAGACAAAAAUGAAAUAUAUUUGACACAAAAUAAGAGGGACAUUGCAUUUCAUUUAAAAGGGAAAGAUAUGAGGGUUUAAACACAAAUAAUAGAAUAUGAAAAAGCUAAAUUUCGAAUUACAACCCUGGAAUAACUCGAAUAAAUUGAAAGAAAAACAAAAUGAACUACCAAAACUCCCUCUUGAUGGGGAGAGGAGUGACUUUCCAAUUGUUGAGACGGAUAACUAGGCCUAUGAACUGCACACCUGUCUUACUGGUACCUUCUCCUUCUUCAACCAUAUCAACUUUAAUAAAAAGGUUCUGGAAGUCAUCAAGCAAUUCAACUUCAAAUUCUACAUGCUUUGUGAUACCACUCUUAACAAAUGAUUCACUGAGUAGUGGCAUUGGGUGAGGGAGUGACCAUGUUUCCUUUUUCCUUCCCUUGGCUUUCUUUAGAUCUUCAGUCGUAGGCUCAAAUCCCAUAUCGAAAGUGCCCAUGUUCUCAUUUGGACAUAUGGGACGAACUAUACCGUGCAGAGAAGCUCCCGAACCCCUUCCUGGAUCGAAUCUAUAUUUCAAAAUUUCACUCACCAUCAUGAUAGAAGUGGAAGACAAUUGUGGUCCUAGUAUAUCCUGCCCUUCAAGGAUAUGAUCCACGUGCACUGUAUCAAAAAUUUGAUAUACAAAUAUCUCCUCUACAUUGUUUGCUUCAAUAAGAGACAAGGGAGAAUCUUCGUAGGCAGAUAAAUCUCCUUCACCAUGAGUAACCACUUCUUGCCUGUCAUGCUCAAAUUUAAUCUAGUGCAGUGUAGAUGCAACCACCUUGUCUUUGUGGGUCCACGGUCUUCCCAACAACAGAUUGUAAGGGGAUUCGAUAUUUAAUACUUGAAACUCUUUGGCGAAUUCGACAGGCCCUAUAAUUAGCAUUAGUUCUAUUUCGCCAUUGGAAUUUGAUUUUGCACCAUCAAAAACCCUGACGCAUACAUUAUUGGACCUAAUCCUCUCAGCACCAAUAUUUAACUUUUGUAAAGUAGAAAUAGGGCAGAUAUUUCCACCUGAACCUCCAUCGAUCAUGCCAUGAGUGACGUAGAAAUCUUCACACUUUACUAUAAUGUAAAGGCCCCGGUUAUGCCCUGUACCUUCAACAGGCAAUUCAUCAUCUGAGAAGCUGAUCCGAUUGACCUCAAAGAUUUUUCCAACCAUUUUCUCAAGAUGAUUUAUUGUAAUUUCCCCAGGAACAUAUGCUUCAUUUAAUACCUUCAGUAUAAUCUCACGAUGUUCCUUGGAAUGCAACACCAAAGCUAAGAGAGAAAUUUGAGCAGGGCUUUUCUUCAACUAAUCUAUUAUUGAAUACUCUGGAAACUUCAUCUUUUUCAAAAAUUCUUUGGCUUCUUCUUCAGUGAUAGGAUUUUUGAUAGAUGAAGGCCCACAUACCACUGGCUUGGGCUUCUUUAAACCUUCAGGCACGAAGCAUCUUCCUAACUGAGUCAAACCCCCUACCUCAUCUAUUUCUUCCUCAACUUCCUUCCCCUGAUAAAUCAACACAGUCCGCUUAUAGUUCCAGGGGACCUUUUUUGUAUCAAUAAUCUGAGGUUGGGUCACUGGUUUGAGGACAAUAGGCACUGCCAGUGCUCCUUUCACGGUUAAGAUAGGCUUACCCAAAGCUCCUACCACCGUCAACUUAGGUUUAUCCAAAACUUAAAUCAGCAUAUGUUUUGGCACAUUGCACUGUGAUCAGGGGUUUCUUUGUGCUUUAUUGGGCUUUAUCUUCUCCCAUUCCUUUCUAGCUUAAUGACCUUGCUUUCAAAGACUCUGCUACAUUAACCAAUUUUUCCUCACUGGUCUGUAUCUUGACAAUAGGCUUAUAACACCUUGAUGACUAUUUCCCAUCACAUAUCAAUUCUAACAUAUUAGUUUCAACAUGGUUGGCAGCGAAUUUUGGUUAAUGUUUGGAACCUCCGAGGCCUAGACCAAUAUCUGAUUUAUGUCAAUUAAAUCUUAGACAGCUCUUUUUAAAUGCCAGCAUUUCUCGAUAUCGUGGCCUGGCAUAUCAGAACAUUACACACACCUUAAAGAAUAAUCGAGACUCCUUUGAGUGAGAUUUGUAAGCCUUCCUUGAAUUGGGCUUAAGACCUUCAUUUUUCUCAGCCUAUCAAACAAACUAGCAUAUGACUCCCCAAGAUGUGUGAACUAAUUUUUGACCACCUUCUCUUUCUUGUACUCGAGUCUGGGUUGGAAACUGGGUCUGGAGUGGUUUUGGUAAUUUAGUAGAGCUGAUGGGCGAUUUUGUGGAGCUUGCGCGCGCUAUUGCUGGUAAGAAGGGGUUUGGGCAUAUGGCUGCACGCUAUAUACUAGGUACGGUGGUGGUGGAAUGGAAUAUAAUGGGUUUUGUAGAGGGUAGUAAUAGUGUGGAGGAAUAUAUGUUGCUUGGGUGUAGACUUGGGCUUGGGAUUGGGGAUAGGGGUGAGGCAUUCUUUUGGGAUAGGAAUGGGUUCCAGCUACAGCGGUCGCCACGUCCUCUUUCUUCUUUUUACCUCCGAAUGUGCCAGAUCCACCUUGAAUCGAUUGUGUGGUGGCUUUCAACGCUGCGAAAUUCACUAUUCGGCCGGUCUUGAUUCCAUCCUCUAUCAUCUCUCCCAUUUUGAGAACUUUAAGAAAAGACUUUCCCAUUGCUGGAAGUAAAUGUUUAAAAUAGGUCUCAUUUUGUGCUUGAAUGAAGACCUCUACCAGGUUACUUUCCUUCAUUGGAGGCUUUACCCUAGAGGCCUAUUCACGCAACCAUAUCACGUAUUCCCUAAAGCCUUCAGUUCUUUUCUUCUUCAUGUUGACCAAGGAUUUUUCGUCUAAAAUCAGGUCAACGUUAUACUGAAAAUAUUGCACAAACUCAGAAGCUAAGUCAUCCCAGUUGUUCCACUUGUAGAUAUCUUGAUCAACAAACCAUUCUGAAGCCAGAUCAGAAAGACUCUCACCAAAGAAAGCCAUGAGCAACUCUUCCCUUCCCCCUGCAGCCCUCAAUUGGUUGCAAUAACGUCUCAAGUGUGCCAUGGGAUCACCAUGCCCAACAUACUUCUCAGACUUGGGCAUUUUAAAAUCGAGGGGAAGGUUUACGUAUGGGAACAUGAAAAGAUCUUUAUAGGAAACACUUUUAUAACCUCCGAUUCCCUGAAAAUUCCUCAUGGCCUGUUCAAAACUUUUCAAUUUCUGCGCUAUGACUUCGUGUUCCUCUGUUGUGACAGGUUUCUCCGUAUCAAAAGGAAAUCCAGGUGGCUGAGUGUACCCAUACGGUUCAUUCAUUCUCAAAGUAGGCUCCGGGGCAUAAUACUGACUAUCUGGAACCUUUAAUAUUAGCUCACUGGCAGACCGAGGAAGCCCCAUUGUCGAACUCACAGAAUAUAUGGGAGCUUCAGGUGGUGGUGGAGCCACGAACACCAGUGUGAUCGGUGGCGCCGGCUGAGCAGCGGGUCUUGGUCGGGGAGCUGCCAAGGGCACACUAGAAGUGCUAGGAUAAUAAUAUCGGGGAGUGAAUCUUGGCGCAUGCUCAGGUGACUCAGUGGGAGCAGAGAAUUGCGCCUAAGAGAGCGGUUCACAAUUAGAGAUACUCCCAAGACCUUCAGGGAGCGGAGGAGGAGGCAUGCCACUAGUACAUUCUCGGUGCAAAUCCAUUAAUUGUUGACUGAGCCUUGCUACCUCAUCAUUUCGUUCUGAACUUUCUUCCCUGGGAUCCUGAUAUUGGUCAAUGAGAGAAUUUUCAAUCUCCUUGCUAGCCAUGGAGAGCUUUGAUUUUGAUCAUGUGAAGUACGGGUGACUAGCCAGAGUGCUGCAAACCUACCACUGUUAUCUUAAAGAAUAUGCUCAUCAAAGACGACAUCCGUUAGGAUUAGGGAACACAACAAACAUGGGAAUCACAUUGGUAAAAUUUUCCUAGAUUCAUAUUCAUUUCUACCAGCCUUUAAGGGUAGAGAGGUCAUUUUAACAUCAUCCCGAUUUUCAUAUACACUCAUUUGUUUCUUUCCUCCACACACACCUCCUUUCUUGCACACUCAUUUCCCUUUUUUUUAUCAGUCUCUAUUCUUUCCCUUUCUUAUCUUAUCAUCCUUUCUUUUUUUUUCUUCUCUUGCUAUCUACCUUCAUUUUAUCAUUAUUUAUGGCUUUGCUUUUCUUUAAAAGAGGAAAAAUAAUGAAAAACAACGAAACAAAAUGAUUAGAUCGAACCCCAAAGUAGGUUGCCUACGUAUCAUGUUGUACAUGAAUCAGAUCUUGCGUAGUUCGGGCAGCGCAUGCAUAAAUAUCACAAAGUUGAAGUUUUUUUUUUUUUUUGAAAAAUAAACAAAAAAGAACAACGCAACGUCACAUCAUUUCAUAAAAGAGACAACUAAAACAAACUUCAAAUUCAAGAAAACUUUUAAACUAAACAACGAAAGUUAAACAACACUCUAGACCCACCGGACAACAUACGUACUGCUCCUAAUAAAGACUCCAAAGUUAAUGCAAACUUGACACCGACUUAACAAAGACACAAUACUACAAAUGGCAAAAAGUAAAGGACUCAAACUAGACAAAUGAUAGGAAAUGGUCCUUCGGACUAGUGCUCUGCGUGAUAACCCUUGCUGAGAUGGACUAGCCUGUGAAGUUCUCUUUCUCCCAUUCAAACUAUGUAGCAUAUCUUGUAAGGACCUUUCGAUAUUUGGGAAGAUGCCUCUAACACGCAUUCCUUCAUGAGGAGUACACUUGAAAAGAUUGUUCUGACACCCCUCUACAAUUUUGAGCAAACCUAACAGCUUAACUCUUAAUGUCUCCACUUUGGCCCCCGCACCUUCAUCCUGAUGGUCGUCAACUAUGCAUUCUUCCUGUAUUCUCCCUCUAAGCUACAAUGGUAAUGGUUGGUUGAUACCCCAAGGGAUAGAUUAAAGCCAAACCACAUAUCCAUGAGUGUAGCCCGGAUUAUCCAAACUUUCUUUGAGAGUGUCCAAACCUAGCUUUGUUGCAUGCUUCUAGAACUGCUCAUAUUUUCUCUCACCUAAGGCUUGGUCAUUGCAUUACUCAACAUCCUUUAGAAGAUCCACCACUGGUGGUACGUCCUGCGGCCUACCCAACUGGCUUAUUACCCUAGAAGAACUGUAUGGUCUAGUGCAAUUGAGCCCUAACAUAACUAGAAGGAGCUGCAUCUGACAACCAAACAAGAUUAUCUUUGGUCGAAGCCACGGAUAAGUCCACAAAAUGUUAUCCUCGGCUCUUGACUCAAGAAAUUCAAUCCAAACGUCGACUCCCACGAGUAGAAAGAAUUUAUCCGAACACAACCUGAGGUCCAUGGCUUUCACUCGAUUAGGAAUACAAUGAUCAACCAUGUCUGGUCCAACUAAAGAAGGAGCAUGCAAAUUCUCCAUCAUCUAUAACUGCAAUAUCAGGUUACUGCCCUCAAAAAAUCUCAUCCCCCCUUCACUUCAGUUAAAGCCUUAUAUAUUUCUGUUAAGAUCAUGGGUAUGAGAGUGAACCUGCCUUUUUGAUUAACGACCUUGCCCUUUUGAUUAGUGCCCUUGUCAUUUUGAUCCUUAUGAAAUAGAGUCAUCACCAUAGAUUGCAAACAUAUAUUAAUACGUCUUUCUUCUAAAGUACCUAACAAAGCGAGGGUGAAGACUUCCAGGCGCUUUCUCUCCCACUUCUCCUUAGUCAUAUGAAAUUCAUCCCAACAGCAAUCAAAACCUUUCGAGGACCCAAAUAUAGCAAACAAAAAAUCUAAGGAAACCCACGAAUCACUUAAACAACCCAAAUGCAUACCCUUACUUUUUAAACCACAAGACUGCAAAAACCUCAUGCCAGUAUGAUUUCGUGCUCAAAUCAUAUAUUUCUCGAUAUAGGGAAAAUGCAACAGACCGGAUAUCUCUGCCAAAGUAGGAUUCAUUUUACAUUCUCCAAACCUGAACACCAAACUACUUGGAUCCCAAAAGGUCAACACAGUCUCUAUUAAAUCUGGACGAGGGGUAAUAUGUAGAAGUUUUGUAAGAUCACCUAAUAUUUUAAUCAGUUUCUACUUACCAACAUAGUUAAACAUGCCCCACCACUUGAUUAAAUUUUUGGGCACCUUGACAACCAUCAGGACUCUAGACUUGGUGGACAAAUUCAUCCUGUAAUAAAAUCUCAAAAAUUCGAUAGGAGCAGAUGAUUCCCAACCCUUGGGAUUCUUGACGCAGACAUAUGUCGAUGAGAGAGACCACCUCAUGACUCAAAUUUGCCGAACAGUACUACUGAACAAAAUCAGUCUACUUGGCUAACAACUCUAGAAUACGAGCCGAAAGACCUAGUCUAAUGAUAAGACAAAGGCCAAAAACGAACAUUACUGGACCCAUCGAGGGUUGCCUACGUAUCCCAACCUGAGGGAAGGGAAUCAGGUAUGCGUAGUUCAUCCCGAUUGGACAAUUAACGAUCAAUUAAUAGAUUGACCCUAACUCAAGAGACACAACCAAAGACAAAUGAAAAAAUUUUUUUUUUUUUUUUUUUUUUGCUCUUUAAUUGGACACUUCAACUAAGACUGACACCAACAACUAUGAAAAAAAAUCUUUUUGGUAUGUACAAAUUUCUACCAACCCUUUUUUUUUUAAUAUUCUUUUAUAAAAUCUACUACUAUAUAAAAAUCUCUUUUUUUUUCUUUAAAUUUUCAAAUUAUGAAUGCUUAUUAAGAAAAAGAAAAAUCUUUUUGUACUUUUGUUUUUGACAAAUAAGUAGAACAGGUAAACAAAAUCCUCUUUUUUUUUGUUGAAUUUACGGUACUUUGAGGAAAUAAAUGCAAAAGGUAAAAAAAAAAUCUUUUUGAGUUUUUGGAUUGUGAAGAACAAAAGUCAUAAAGAACUCUAAAAUAAAAUACGGCACUUUUUUUUUUCUUUCUUUUUUACUCACUUUUUCUAUUUUUUUUUUCAACAUUUCUUGCCUACAUACCUUACUUCUAACACAUGUUUUCCCCAAAUCAAUCCGUCAAAUGACCACGUUACCCUCAAAGAUACAACAUUUAGCACGUAGGGAUGCUUUAAAGGUGAGUCUCCUACAAAGGGCCAUGUGGGUCCCGCUAAGUCUCAAUAUGAUGCACAUAAGCAUGAGCUAAAGGCUGACCUACGUUGGGGUUCACUAACAAGGCUGUUCGGGGGAGCGUAUGGUUGAUAGUGGCUGCUUUGCUUUCCACCUACUCCAUGACACCGACGGCUCCCCCCCUAAAACAAUGGUGACUCAACUAAAGGUCGUGUACAACACAUGUACUACGAACUUAUUGCAGAAAGAAGGCUUGGGGUAGACACAUGAUGCAAGAUAUAAAAGAGGUAACACAUAGGAUAAAUACUACACACAGAGCAUGAAAACAUUCCACAAUGAUAAAACAAAAAACACAAGCAAAAUGUUUAUACACCUAUAGUUCCAAACAAAGCCGAUACGACUCCAAAAUAAGCUCAAAUUCUGAACAAUUUUGCAGCAGAGUCUCCAGAGCUGUCACACCUUUUUUUCAACAUCCAAAAGAUUCCAUUUUAAGGUUUGAAAGGGUUUUUACUAUUAAGUGAGAAAAGAUUAAAAAUUUAUUUCGAAAAAGGACUAUUUUCAUUUUUUAUUCAGAUUCUCCACUUGGCAUAAUCCGGUGUGCGAAGUCACCUAUGGAAAAUCCUUUUCGAAAUGGUUUGACUCUAAAAACUGAUCCACGAACAGAGAUACCAAUUAAGGAAUUCUGUUGACUGAGGGAAAGGUGUUAGACACCCCUCGAUCCAGUGGGUUCUGCCAGGGUCGCUUGAUGGAGCGUAUCGGCUAAUUUGACAUUAUAAAAUACAUAAACCACAUAAAGCAAACAAAACAAUCAAGCAAGCAAAUAAAACAAAACAAUCCAAAAUUUAGCUUCCAGUCCAAUUUAUUACAAACCGAAAUAAAAAUACAGAAAUAACCUACGCUAGACCUAAACUAUGCUUUACCCGAUGCCUCAGGCCUUGAUCACGAACAUCCUUCACAUAUAAAAUACUUCGGGGCAUUCCUCGAUGAGUAAAUACAAGUGACCUCGAGGCAUUCCUUCGCAAAAUGAAUACAUCUUUUCAAUGCGAUAAAACUAAACCAUUCAACAAAAUUUCAAACAUUCAACUAAUCCACAAAUUCUAAACUUUGCCUACCCAACCUACGUUUGCCUACCUCACUCGACUUAUCAUGAUACUAACAAGUUUGAUUAACGUUCAUCUCAAGUCAAACAAUAAUUCAUGAAUCAAACUUACCAAAUGUUACCUUUUUGGCAAGUUUCAAUUCCACCUCCCAAUUUCUUUUUUUUUUAAUUCUUAACGAGAUAUCAUUUCAUUACAUAAUCUAUAAACAGACAAAGAAUCGAAACCAACAACUAUUCAUCAUAAACAAUAAUCAACCAACACAUAAUAUUUCAUUCAAUGAACCGAAUAUCACAAAUAAUGAAAUAAAAAGGGAAAGAGAGUAGAAUUAGACCUCAAUCUGACGUUCUAUUUCAAUUAACUGAUCUUUUCGAAUAGAACCGCGUCCAAAUAGAACCUCAACAUCGAACCACAAUCACGAACCCAAAUCAAAAACUUCGAUCUAGAACUCCAAUUUACUCAGACUUGCUUUCGAGCAAGGCUCCACGAAGAACAAAUGAAAACAAAAUCAAAAUCAAGGCUCCGAACUGGAACAAACCAGAAACCUGUAUGAUUGUUUCCAGAUGAGAAGUAACCAAAGUCGGCCUAAAAAAUGAUCAAUUCAAAUCAGUGCGGACCAUAAUUAAACAUUUUCCGGUGAAAGAAUGCUAUUUUUUGGCCAAGAAGCUGGAAUGGUCAUCCCCAAUCCCUUUUCUCUCCUCUCUCUCCCAAUAUCACUCUCUCGCAGCUCGGUCUUUAUCACUCUAUCUCUCUCUGCCUUCUCGAAUCUCUCUCUCUACCUCUCUCAAUCUAUCUCUUUUUGUUUUUCAGCUCUCACUCGUGGAGAAGAAAACAAAAAAGGACUGGUGGAAAAGAAAAGAAAAUGGCGUGAAUCACUCUUCUUCCCUAUUGAUAGCCCUCGUGAAGAAGAUGAAUUGUGAACUCUCACUCUUCUCCCUCUUCCUCUCGCAUCUCUCUCUCCUACCUCCUCCUCCCUUGCAGCUUUCUGUGUGUAUAUAUUGUUUUUCCUAGUCCCCGAAAGCUGCCAGGAAAUUUCCCUUUUAUUUUUAGUUUUCUUUUUCCUUAUUAUUUCUUUGUGGUCAAGAAAUGUGAGGGAGUGGGGUCACGUGGGUGCGGGGUGUGGUAGUAGGUGAGGUGUAAGUUUUUAAUUGCAGGGGUAGGGGUUAGGUGUCCAUUUUUUAUUGGGUGGGUUGUUGGAAUUAUAAAGAUAGGACAAAAUUAGUUAGGUUUGUUAAAUGGGAUAAAAAAAAAAGAGUGAAAAGAUGAGGUGAUUAUUUAUUUUCUUGAGGAAAAAUUACUACGCGUAUAGGGUACGUAGUAAAUGGGGUAAACGCUAAAAUUUGUGAAGGAAUGAAAUUACGUGUCUACAAGAGCAAUUUAAAACAGCUCAUAAACAUAUCAUAUGGUAAGUGUUUUGACGAAAUUUUAAAUUUAAGAGAAGAGUCUCCACUUAAUUUUGAAAAGAAAUUAAAAAACCUUUAUAAAUACUUUAAACGAUCCAAAACAGGAAAAUCAUUUAAGAAAGAGAUUCUAAGUAAGUGAUUCCUAUUAACGUUUUAGGAAGGUGUUAGGCACCUAAAACGUCCGCUAACUUGCGGUUAUCCGAAAUGUUUGAAAAUCGUCUUUUGAUUAUCUUCGAAAAGAUUAAUUUUGUCAAAAAUUAAUAGAUUUUUUGGAAAGAAAGCGAUUUUGAAAAUAUUUUGGUGUUUAUGCAAAACUAGUUUCUUAGCGACUUAACUAAGGAUUUAACUAGGUUCGCAAAGUACAUAAGAAAAACAAACAUAAAGAACAGGGGGAGGGGAGGAAGUAAGGGAUUUAGGCCAUUGGCCCAAAUCAACAAAACCUAUCC